Parus major (Great Tit) is the source of this 1133-nucleotide long non-coding RNA. RefSeq lists it as uncharacterized. The record is from RefSeq and is a predicted model, not a curated record. NCBI's taxonomy places the organism in Eukaryota, Metazoa, Chordata, Aves, Passeriformes, Paridae. The transcript has 4 exons.
AAAUGGAAUGCUUUUUUGAACUAGCUGAUAAAAGAUCCAAAUUUCCCCCUGUUGUGAUAAAAGAUGUUCUAAGCCUUUAGAGAGAUAGGGAAACAUUACACAACAGGAACAAUUUACUGUGUUCAAUACAUUACAGAUAUAUCUUACGGUGACGGUAGCAUUCUAUAGCUCCAGAAAACAUUGUCUGGUAACAAAAGGAUGUUCCUCUGUGUCUCUGAGACUAAGCCUCCUGAAAAAACCAGUUGAGUUAAGAAACCAGUUCUUACCCUUUUGGUAUAGCCCCUGAAGAUGGAGGUGGGUUUCUCCUGUGGUUCAAGUGCUAACCUAGGACUCAGAAGAGAAGUGUUCAAUGUCCUGCUGUGCUACAGACUUCUGGAAGAAGAAGUGUGAUAUUUCAUUUCACCACCUCUGACAAAGGCAUUAUUUCAUCCCUAUUCUAGGGAUUUUAUUCAGGUUAAGGAAUUACUUAACAGUAACAGCAUGACUGUGUUUUGAUUUAUUUUUUCUAAAAUAUUGAAACAGAAAAAUAAGAGAAAGGAGGACGUUGCUUUUGUAUUAAUAGUUCCUCAAGAUCUUAAAAAGGAACAUCUGAUCUUGGGAAACAAGAGGUUGUUUUUAUCAUUUUGUUUUGGUUCCUGGAAUUUCUUAUUAAUUUUACAAGUCCUGUUAUAGACUGGUUUUUUUGAACUUCCUUCCUGCUCAUUUAAUUUAAUGGAUGAAUAAAACUUUUCCACAGAAAUUACAAUAGCAGGAAAAGUUUAUAAGACCAUAUGCAGCAGACUUUGAGAACAUCCAUGCCUCUAAUAGGUCUUUGAUAAAUUCUGACAGUUGUCAGUCUUCUAAUGCAGAAGUCAUUUGACACUCUUAUUCUGUAUUGAGACCAUUACAUAUCAGAAAUAACAAGUGACUACUGAAUCUCGAUUUGAUGGUGUCCAAGAGCACUCCUGUGAACUUAUGAACUAAAGCACAAAAAAAAUCACUGGAGAAAAGACAUCUGGGGGAAAAGUAAAACUUCUUUGUGUUUGGUGAGUAUCCAGGACUCAGCUUUCUGUGUUGUUAAUAUAUUCAUAAAAAAUUGGAAGCUUUGUUCACUGAUUUACCUGAGUGAUAAGAUUUUAAUGCUGAUUGUACUC